Molecule: ribosomal RNA, 491 nt
Filed under: uncultured bacterium
Lineage: Bacteria
Description: partial 16S ribosomal RNA
Rfam family: Bacterial small subunit ribosomal RNA
Source: RNAcentral
AGUGAACGCUGGCGGUAGGCCUAACACAUGCAAGUCGAACGGCAGCACAGUAAGAGCUUGCUCUUACGGGUGGCGAGUGGCGGACGGGUGAGGAAUACAUCGGAAUCUACUUUUUCGUGGGGGAUAACGUAGGGAAACUUACGCUAAUACCGCAUACGACCUACGGGUGAAAGCAGGGGAUCUUCGGACCUUGCGCGAUUGAAUGAGCCGAUGUCGGAUUAGCUAGUUGGCGGGGUAAAGGCCCACCAAGGCGACGAUCCGUAGCUGGUCUGAGAGGAUAAUCAGCCACACUGGAACUGAGACACGGUCCAGACUCCUACGGGAGGCAGCAGUGGGGAAUAUUGGACAAUGGGCGCAAGCCUGAUCCAGCCAUACCGCGUGGGUGAAGAAGGCCUUCGGGUUGUAAAGCCCUUUUGUUGGGAAAGAAAAGCAGCAGGUUAAUACCCCGCUGUUCUGACGGUACCCAAAGAAUAAGCACCGGCUAACUUCGU